AAAAUCCGUCGAUUUUAUCAAUCGUGAGGGUUCAAGUCCCUCUAUCCCCA
Molecule: transfer RNA, 50 nt
Filed under: Fagonia chilensis
Lineage: Eukaryota; Viridiplantae; Streptophyta; Magnoliopsida; Zygophyllales; Zygophyllaceae
Description: partial tRNA-Leu
Source: RNAcentral